This 828-nucleotide ribosomal RNA is filed under the name Triticum aestivum (bread wheat). Its description in RNAcentral is "partial small subunit ribosomal RNA". The record is from RNAcentral. Lineage: Eukaryota; Viridiplantae; Streptophyta; Magnoliopsida; Poales; Poaceae.
AUGGCAAUAGACCACGCGUCCCCUCUCGCGCUCAAGAGCGGCGGCGCCACGGGAGGAGCGGGGUGCGAGGACGAGGAGGCGGAGAACCAGCGGUGGCCGCCGUGGCUGAAGCCGCUGCUGGCGACGAGCUUCUUCGUGCAAUGCCGGGCGCACGCCGACGCGCACAAGAGCGAGUGCAACAUGUACUGCCUCGACUGCGUCAACGGCGCGCUCUGCUCGCUCUGCCUCGCCCACCACCGCGACCACCACGCCAUCCAGAUUCGGAGGUCGUCGUACCACGACGUGAUCCGGGCGUCGGAGAUACAGAGGGUGCUGGACAUCACCGGCGUGCAGACGUACAUCAUCAACAGCGCGCGCGUGGUGUUCCUCAACGAGCGCCCGCAGCCGAGGCCGGGCAAGGGGGUCACCAACACCUGCGAGGUCUGCGAGCGCAGCCUCCUCGACUCCUUCCGCUUCUGCUCCCUCGGAUGCAAAGUAUGCAUAUGUCCUCCUUACAAUCCAAGCUUCGGCCAUGGCCUGGCGCAUUGCAAGCUGGUAACCAGCACGGCAUCUUCUGCCCCACAGAUUGUAGGCACGUCCGGCGGCCACCGGCCGAGGAAGAAGCACGGCGGCAAGAAGAAGAAGAGAGCGGCGGUCAAGGAUGCGCGGUCGGACUCGGAGCACUCGUGCACGAGCACAAGCGGCGGCAGCAGCGACAAGAGCAGCGUGGUGCAGAGCUUCUCGCCGUCGACCCCGCCGGCCACCUCCAGCAGCUACCGCGCCGGCAACAAGCGCCGCAAGGGCAUCCCGCACCGGUCGCCGUUCGGCAGCCUCAUCGUGGAGUACUAA